CGGGUGAGUAACACGUGGNNNNNUNCCCAAUGGUACGGAAUAACCCAGGGAAACUUGGAUUAAUACCGUAUGUGCCCUUCGGGGGAAAGAUUUAUCGCCAUUGGAUGAACCCGCGUCGGAUUAGCUAGUUGGUGAGGUAAAGGCUCACCAAGGCGACGAUCCGUAGCUGGUCUGAGAGGAUGAUCAGCCACACUGGGACUGAGACACGGCCCAGACUCCUACGGGAGGCAGCAGUGGGGAAUAUUGGACAAUGGGCGCAAGCCUGAUCCAGCCAUGCCGCGUGAGUGAUGAAGGCCUUAGGGUUGUAAAGCUCUUUCGCCGGUGAAGAUAAUGACGGUAACCGGAGAAGAAGCCCCGGCUAACUUCGUGCCAGCAGCCGCGGUAAUACGAAGGGGGCUAGCGUUGCUCGGAAUCACUGGGCGUAAAGCGCACGUAGGCGGAUCGUUAAGUCAGGGGUGAAAUCCUGGAGCUCAACUCCAGAACUGCCCUUGAUACUGGCGAUCUCGAGUUCGAGAGAGGUUGGUGGAACUCCGAGUGUAGAGGUGAAAUUCGUAGAUAUUCGGAAGAACACCAGUGGCGAAGGCGGCCAACUGGCUCGAUA
Molecule: ribosomal RNA, 601 nt
Filed under: Xanthobacter flavus
Lineage: Bacteria; Pseudomonadati; Pseudomonadota; Alphaproteobacteria; Hyphomicrobiales; Xanthobacteraceae
Description: bacterial SSU rRNA
Rfam family: Bacterial small subunit ribosomal RNA
Source: RNAcentral